GUGGGGGAUAUUGCACAAUGGAGGAAACUCUGAUGCAGCGACGCCGCGUGAGUGAAGAAGUAUUUCGGUAUGUAAAGCUCUAUCAGCAGGGAAGAUAAUGACAGUACCUGACUAAGAAGCCCCGGCUAACUACGUGCCAGCAGCCGCGGUAAUACGUAGGGGGCAAGCGUUAUCCGGAUUUACUGGGUGUAAAGGGAGCGUAGACGGAAUGGCAAGUCUGAAGUGAAAUCCUGCGGCUUAACUGCAGAAUUGCUUUGGAAACUGUCAAUCUGGAGUGUUGGAGAGGUAAGCGGAAUUCCUGGUGUAGCGGUGAAAUGCGUAGAUAUCAGGAAGAACACCGGAGGCGAAGGCGGCUUACUGGACAAUAACUGACGUUGAGGCUCGAAAGCGUGGGAAGCAAACAGGAUUAGAUACCCUGGUAGUCC
RNAcentral lists this ribosomal RNA (425 nucleotides) under uncultured bacterium. Its description in RNAcentral is "partial 16S ribosomal RNA". It matches the Rfam family "Bacterial small subunit ribosomal RNA", at positions 354 to 796 of the family's 1533-position model. The record is from RNAcentral.